Molecule: unclassified non-coding RNA, 263 nt
Filed under: Nectria sp. (in: ascomycete fungi)
Lineage: Eukaryota; Fungi; Ascomycota; Sordariomycetes; Hypocreales; Nectriaceae
Also listed under: 2 other names
Description: partial contains 5.8S ribosomal RNA, internal transcribed spacer 2, and large subunit ribosomal RNA
Source: RNAcentral
AACGCACAUUGCGCCCUUUGGCAUUCCGAAGGGCAUGCCUGUCCGAGCGUCAUUAUCCUCCCUCAAACCCCCGGGUUUGGUGUUGGACCGCGUUGGUUGUUCGCAGCCAACUGGUCUCAAAGACAAUGACGGCGUCCCCGGGACCCUCUUCGCACUGAGCUUUUGCAAGCACGCGAGGAGUCUCAAGGGCCCAGGGACCCGGUCACCUCAUUAAAUUUUUUCAGGUUGACCUCGGAUCAGGUAGGAAUACCCGCUGAACUUAA